This 1252-nucleotide ribosomal RNA is filed under the name Aptenodytes forsteri (emperor penguin). Its description in RNAcentral is "partial 16S ribosomal RNA". It matches the Rfam family "Bacterial large subunit ribosomal RNA", at positions 829 to 2837 of the family's 2925-position model. Lineage: Eukaryota; Metazoa; Chordata; Aves; Sphenisciformes; Spheniscidae. The record is from RNAcentral.
CCAACCGAGCCGGGUGAUAGCUGGUUGCCUGUGAAGUGAAUCUAAGUUCCCUCUUAAUUUUCCCCCUCCGGACACCCACCCUCAACCACCAUGUGGUAGAUCAAGAGUAAUUUAAAGGGGGUACAGCCCCUUUAAAAAAGAAUACAACCUCCACUAGCGGAUAACUGCCCAACUGACACUAAACUGUGGGCCCUCAAGCAGCCAUCAACAAAGAGUGCGUCAAAGCUCUACGCCUAAAAAAAUCCAAAAACAACAGGACUCCCUUAUCCAUAACAGGCCAACCUAUGACAAUAGGAGAAUCAAUGCUAAAAUGAGUAAUCAGGGACUACCCUCUCGAGCGCAAGCUUACAUUACCCCAUUAUUAACAAACCCCAGACUAAUACUUCCAACUCAAACAAGCCAAGUAUUAAAUCCACCCUGUUAAUCCAACUCAGGUGCGCCCAUCAGAAAGAUUCAAAUCUGCAAAAGGAACUAGGCANCCCCAAGGCCCGACUGUUUACCAAAAACAUAGCCUUCAGCCAACCAAGUAUUGAAGGUGAUGCCUGCCCAGUGACACCAUGUUCAACGGCCGCGGUAUCCUAACCGUGCGAAGGUAGCGCAAUCAAUUGUCCCAUAAAUCGAGACUUGUAUGAAUGGCUAAACGAGGUCUUAACUGUCUCUUGCAGACAAUCAAUGAAAUUGAUCUUCCUGUGCAAAAGCAGGAAUAAGCCCAUAAGACGAGAAGACCCUGUGGAACUUAAAAAUCAGCGNCCACUACACACAACCCAAAACCUACCAGGCCCACAACCCCAACAACACACUGGCCCGCAUUUUUCGGUUGGGGCGACCUUGGAGAAAAACAGAUCCUCCAAAAAUAAGACUACACCUCUUAACCAAGAGCGACACCUCAACGUACUAACAGUAACCAGACCCAAUAUAAUUGACCAAUGGACCAAGCUACCCCAGGGAUAACAGCGCAAUCCCCUCCAAGAGCUCAUAUCGACGAGGGGGUUUACGACCUCGAUGUUGGAUCAGGACAUCCUAAUGGUGCAGCCGCUAUUAAGGGUUCGUUUGUUCAACGAUUAAUAGUCCUACGUGAUCUGAGUUCAGACCGGAGCAAUCCAGGUCGGUUUCUAUCUAUGACAAACUUUUCCCAGUACGAAAGGACCGGAAAAGUGAGGCCCAUACCACAAGCACGCCUCCCCCCAAGUAGUGAACCCAACUGAACUACCAAACAGGCCACCCAUCUCCACACCAUCCUAGAAAAGGACCG